This 492-nucleotide ribosomal RNA is filed under the name uncultured bacterium. Its description in RNAcentral is "partial 16S ribosomal RNA". It matches the Rfam family "Bacterial small subunit ribosomal RNA", at positions 29 to 507 of the family's 1533-position model. The record is from RNAcentral.
AUUGAACGCUGGCGGCAUGCUUUACACAUGCAAGUCGAACGGUAACAGGCCUUCGGGUGCUGACGAGUGGCGAACGGGUGAGUAAUGCACCGGAACGUACCCAGAGGUGGGGGAUAACGCAGCGAAAGCUGUGCUAAUACCGCAUGUGAUCUGAGGAUGAAAGCGGGGGACCGAGCAGCAAUGUUUGGCCUCGCGCCUUUGGACCGGCCGAUGUCGGAGUAGCUAGUUGGGGGGGUAAAGGCCUACCAAGGCGACGAUCCGUAGCUGGUCUGGGAGGACGGUAAGCCACCUUGGAACGUGGACACGGACCAGAGUCCUACGGGAGGCAGCAGAGGGGAACUUUGGACAAUAGGCGCAAGCCUGAUCCAGUAAGCCCGCGUGCGAGAAGGAAGCCUUCGGGUUGUGAUCCGCUUUUGGCAGGAGCGAAACGCUGUCCGCUAAUACCGAGCGCUAAUGACGGUACUUGCAGAAUAAGCACCGGCUAACUACGUG